GAUGAACGCUGGCGGCGUGCCUAAUACAUGCAAGUCGAGCGAACUGAUUAGAAGCUUGCUUCUAUGACGUUAGCGGCGGACGGGUGAGUAACACGUGGGCAACCUGCCUGUAAGACUGGGAUAACUUCGGGAAACCGAAGCUAAUACCGGAUAGGAUCUUCUCCUUCAUGGGAGAUGAUUGAAAGAUGGUUUCGGCUAUCACUUACAGAUGGGCCCGCGGUGCAUUAGCUAGUUGGUGAGGUAACGGCUCACCAAGGCAACGAUGCAUAGCCGACCUGAGAGGGUGAUCGGCCACACUGGGACUGAGACACGGCCCAGACUCCUACGGGAGGCAGCAGUAGGGAAUCUUCCGCAAUGGACGAAAGUCUGACGGAGCAACGCCGCGUGAGUGAUGAAGGCUUUCGGGUCGUAAAACUCUGUUGUUAGGGAAGAACAAGUACGAGAGUAACUGCUCGUACCUUGACGGUACCUAACCAGAAAGCCAAGGCUAACUACGUGCCAGCAGCCGCGGUAA
This 514-nucleotide ribosomal RNA is filed under the name uncultured bacterium. RNAcentral describes it as "partial 16S ribosomal RNA". It matches the Rfam family "Bacterial small subunit ribosomal RNA", at positions 28 to 523 of the family's 1533-position model. The record is from RNAcentral.